GCUCUAGCCCAAACACGUACUAAAGUUGGAAUGAUACAGAGAAAAUUAGCAUGACUCCUGAACAAAGAUGACUCGCAAAUUCGUGAAGUGUUCCAUAUAUAU
Molecule: small nuclear RNA, 102 nt
Organism: Suncus etruscus (white-toothed pygmy shrew)
Lineage: Eukaryota; Metazoa; Chordata; Mammalia; Eulipotyphla; Soricidae
Source: RefSeq, a predicted model, not a curated record